UCGGGAAUUUUGGGCAAUGGGCGAAAGCCUGACCCAGCAACGCCGCGUGAAGGAUGAAGUAUUUCGGUAUGUAAACUUCGGAAGAAUAGGAAGAAUAAAUGACGGUACUAUUUAUAAGGUCCGGCUAACUACGUGCCAGCAGCCGCGGUAAUACGUAGGGACCAAGCGUUGUUCGGAUUUACUGGGCGUAAGGGCGCGUAGGCGGCAAUUCAAGUCAUCUGUGAAAUCUCCGGGCUUAACUCGGAACGGUCAGAUGAUACUGCUUUGCUAGAGUGCAGAAGGGGCAAUCGGAAUUCUUGGUGUAGCGGUGAAAUGCGUAGAUAUCAAGAGGAACACCUGAGGUGAAGACGGGUUGCUGGGCUGACACUGACGCU
This 374-nucleotide ribosomal RNA is filed under the name uncultured bacterium. RNAcentral's name for it is "bacterial SSU rRNA". It matches the Rfam family "Bacterial small subunit ribosomal RNA", at positions 355 to 747 of the family's 1533-position model. The record is from RNAcentral.